This is a small nucleolar RNA of Oryza sativa (Asian cultivated rice), 136 nucleotides long. It matches the Rfam family "Small nucleolar RNA Z247". Rfam says of the family: Z247 is a member of the C/D class of snoRNA which contain the C (UGAUGA) and D (CUGA) box motifs. Most of the members of the box C/D family function in directing site-specific 2'-O-methylation of substrate RNAs. The record is from Rfam. Lineage: Eukaryota; Viridiplantae; Streptophyta; Magnoliopsida; Poales; Poaceae.
AAACUUGAUGAUGAUGAUAUUGUUUCAUAUAUUCUUGGAGGACUUGACGCAGAUUAUAAUCCUCUGGUUGCCUCAGUCUCCUCCAAGGACUACAUAUCACUCAGUGAUCUAUAUGCCCAGCUACUCUCGUUUGAGG